GGUGGCUCAGUGGUAAAGCGCUUGCAUUACAUGCAUGAGGCCCUGGGUUCGAUUCCUCAGCACCA
Dipodomys ordii (Ord's kangaroo rat) is the source of this 65-nucleotide non-coding RNA. The record is from Rfam. NCBI's taxonomy places the organism in Eukaryota, Metazoa, Chordata, Mammalia, Rodentia, Heteromyidae.